UUCUUUUUCAGAAUGAAGACAAAAUUAUCUGCCUUACAUCAAUGGAGUGACUUCUCGGUUCCAGCACUGUGGACAAUACAACAUGGCCCCAGACAUUGUCCCUUUAUCCUCAAGCCUCUUGUCCUCUGCAGUGGCAGGAAACUAUUAUUAAGACUCACACCGCCUUCUGUACCAGAAAUCGCAGAGUUGGAGCCAUUCUUAAAAUUCAUCCAACCUCAUCACCUCAUUAUAUAAAUGAAUCCGACCCAGCAAGCUGAGUAAUUUCCAGAGUCAGCGUUACUGGUGUAGAACUACAAAGCAAAGUACUAUUGUGGUAUCUUAUUCACCGAUAAUUUCUCAGCACCACACUGUUGGUUGGAAAAGAAUUAUGUCUUGAAAAGCUGGGGCAACUUCAAGCCACUUAAAAUGAAAAGUAAAACAAAACAAAGGAUAGCGCAACAACUAUACAAGUGAAAGAGAAAGCUGUUUCCAGAUUAUCAGGUAAGGAAGGCUGGCAGGAGGCACCUUCAGAAGGAAGGUGAUGUCAGACGCAAACACAGGGUCAUACUGCCCUCUGGUGGAUAAGAAUAAAAGUGUCUGCUCAGCCCUGAUGUUAAAGUCGAAAGGACUGGAAACUGCUACAAACAAACAAACAAACCCAGGGAAGUCCCCGCUCGAUUUCAGAUAAUGUCUUAGAAGCUGCAUAGAUCUAAACCUUUUUUAUUACUAUGACUACCUUCACAGGAAAAUAGUAAAACAUAGACGUGAAUAAAAUGACCUUUUAAUCAAACUAUAGAUUAGGAGUCUGCUCUAGAACUCUGAAGUUACCCAAUCUCUCUGAGACUCAUUUUCUUCAUCUGUAAAAUGGACAUAAUAGUAGAACGUUCCUUACAGAGUGGUUGUGAGAAUUAAAGAAGAAAAUCUACAUAAAAAGCCCUUAGAAAAAUGCUGGACCUGUAAGAACUCAUAUUAGAGACUAUUACGUUGCUUUUAUCACUGCCAUCUUGGUAACUUUGUAAAAAUAAACCCAUACGUAUAUAACUCAAAUUAUCAAGAAACUGCCAGAAUGGUAUGAUUCUGUGCAUUUCUCCACAUGUUCUACUACUUCUGUGAGAAGUGUCUGUAUAUUUACCUUGAUGUUCUAUAUGUUUACCUUGAUGUUCAUUCCCCACUUCUAAAUAUGCCAUAA
RNAcentral lists this long non-coding RNA (1168 nucleotides) under Chinchilla lanigera (long-tailed chinchilla). RNAcentral's name for it is "lncRNA (ENSCLAG00000026898.1)". The record is from RNAcentral. Lineage: Eukaryota; Metazoa; Chordata; Mammalia; Rodentia; Chinchillidae.